UUAAAUUGAAGAGUUUGAUCAUGGCUCAGAUUGAACGCUGGCGGCAGGCCUAACACAUGCAAGUCGAACGGUAACAGAAAGCAGCUUGCUGCUUUGCUGACGAGUGGCGGACGGGUGAGUAAUGUCUGGGAAACUGCCUGAUGGAGGGGGAUAACUACUGGAAACGGUAGCUAAUACCGCAUAACGUCGCAAGACCAAAGAGGGGGACCUUCGGGCCUCUUGCCAUCGGAUGUGCCCAGAUGGGAGUAGCUUGUUGGUGGGGUAGCGGCUAAC
This 273-nucleotide ribosomal RNA is filed under the name Escherichia coli. Its description in RNAcentral is "partial 16S ribosomal RNA". It matches the Rfam family "Bacterial small subunit ribosomal RNA", at positions 1 to 268 of the family's 1533-position model. The record is from RNAcentral. Lineage: Bacteria; Pseudomonadati; Pseudomonadota; Gammaproteobacteria; Enterobacterales; Enterobacteriaceae.